AGAGUUUGAUCCUGGCUCAGGAUGAACGCUAGCGGGAGGCUUAACACAUGCAAGUCGAGCGGGAAGGGUAGCAAUACCCUGAGAGCGGCGCACGGGUGCGUAACGCGUAUGCAACCUGCCUUAUACAGGGGGAUAGCCCAUGGAAACGUGGAUUAAUAUCCCAUAGGACUUAUUGAUCGCAUGGUUAAUAAGUUAAAACUACGGUGGUAUAAGAUGGGCAUGCGUCUGAUUAGGUAGUUGGUAGGGUAACGGCCUACCAAGCCGACGAUCAGUAGGGGUUCUGAGAGGAUUACCCCCCACACUGGUACUGAGACACGGACCAGACUCCUACGGGAGGCAGCAGUGAGGAAUAUUGGUCAAUGGGCGAGAGCCUGAACCAGCCAUCCCGCGUGCAGGAUGACGGCCCUAUGGGUUGUAAACUGCUUUUCUGCUCCAAGAAACCCACUUACGUGUAGGUGGUUGACGGUAGAGUAGGAAUAAGCAUCGGCUAACUCCGUGCCAGCAGCCGCGGUAAUACGGAGGAUGCAAGCGUUAUCCGGAUUCAUUGGGUUUAAAGGGUGCGCAGGUGGGAAUGUAAGUCAGUGGUGAAAUACUGCCGCUUAACGGUAGAGCUGCCAUUGAUACUGCGUUUCUUGAGUAUGGUUGAGGUAGGUGGAAUGUGUUGUGUAGCGGUGAAAUGCAUAGAUAUGACACAGAACGCCGAUUGCGAAGGCAACUUACUAAGCCAUUACUGACGCUGAGGCACGAAAGCGUGGGUAGCGAACAGGAUUAGAUACCCUGGUAGUCCACGCUGUAAACGAUGUUCACUCGCUGUUUGCGAUACACAGUAAGCGGCUGAGCGAAAGCAUUAAGUGAACCACCUGGGGAGUACGAUCGCAAGGUUGAAACUCAAAGGAAUUGACGG
RNAcentral lists this ribosomal RNA (904 nucleotides) under uncultured bacterium. RNAcentral's name for it is "bacterial SSU rRNA". It matches the Rfam family "Bacterial small subunit ribosomal RNA", at positions 8 to 916 of the family's 1533-position model. The record is from RNAcentral.